RNAcentral lists this ribosomal RNA (484 nucleotides) under uncultured bacterium. Its description in RNAcentral is "partial 16S ribosomal RNA". It matches the Rfam family "Bacterial small subunit ribosomal RNA", at positions 30 to 507 of the family's 1533-position model. The record is from RNAcentral.
AUUGAACGCUGGCGGCAGGCCUAACACAUGCAAGUCGAGCGGAUGAAGGGAGCUGGCUCCUGGAUUCAGCGGCGGACGGGUGAGUAAUGCCUAGGAAUCUGCCUGGUAGUGGGGGAUAACGUCCGGAAACGGGCGCUAAUACCGCAUACGUCCUGAGGGGGAAAGUGGGGGAUCUUCGGACCUCACGCUAUCAGAUGAGCCUAGGUCGGAUUAGCUAGUUGGUGGGGUAAAGGCCUACCAAGGCGACGAUCCGUAACUGGUCUGAGAGGAUGAUCAGUCACACUGGAACUGAGACACGGUCCAGACUCCUACGGGAGGCAGCAGUGGGGAAUAUUGGACAAUGGGCGAAAGCCUGAUCCAGCCAUGCCGCGUGUGUGAAGAAGGUCUUCGGAUUGUAAAGCACUUUAAGUUGGGAGGAAGAGCAGUAAGAUCAUACCUUGCUGUUUUGACGUUACCAACAGAAUAAGCACCGGCUAACUUCGUG